RNAcentral lists this small nuclear RNA (19 nucleotides) under Arabidopsis thaliana (thale cress). RNAcentral's name for it is "snRNA_02554". The record is from RNAcentral. Lineage: Eukaryota; Viridiplantae; Streptophyta; Magnoliopsida; Brassicales; Brassicaceae.
CAAAACCUAGGGCGCGAGC